AUUGAACGCUGGCGGCAUGCCUUACACAUGCAAGUCGAACGGUAACAGGUCUUCGGAUGCUGACGAGUGGCGAACGGGUGAGUAAUACAUCGGAACGUGCCCGAUCGUGGGGGAUAACGAGGCGAAAGCUUUGCUAAUACCGCAUACGAUCUACGGAUGAAAGCGGGGGAUCUUCGGACCUCGCGCGGACGGAGCGGCCGAUGUCAGAUUAGGUAGUUGGUGGGAUAAAAGCUUACCAAGCCGACGAUCUGUAGCUGGUCUGAGAGGAUGAUCAGCCACACUGGGACUGAGACACGGCCCAGACUCCUACGGGAGGCAGCAGUGGGGAAUUUUGGACAAUGGGCGAAAGCCUGAUCCAGCCAUGCCGCGUGCAGGAUGAAGGCCUUUGGGUUGUAAACUGCUUUUGUACGGAACGAAAAGCCUCUUUCUAAUAAAGAGGGGUCAUGACGGUACCGUAAGAAUAAGCACCGGCUAACUACGUG
RNAcentral lists this ribosomal RNA (482 nucleotides) under uncultured bacterium. RNAcentral's name for it is "partial 16S ribosomal RNA". It matches the Rfam family "Bacterial small subunit ribosomal RNA", at positions 30 to 507 of the family's 1533-position model. The record is from RNAcentral.